RNAcentral lists this ribosomal RNA (242 nucleotides) under uncultured bacterium. RNAcentral describes it as "partial 16S ribosomal RNA". It matches the Rfam family "Bacterial small subunit ribosomal RNA", at positions 1 to 255 of the family's 1533-position model. The record is from RNAcentral.
UAGUGAGUUUGAUCCUGGCUCAGGGUGAACGCUGGCGGCGUGCCUAAGACAUGCAAGUCGAACGCAGUAGCUUGCUACUGAGUGGCGCACGGGUGAGUAACACGUAACUGACCUACCCCGUAGUCCCGCACAACGGUCCGAAAGGACCGCUAAUUCGGGGAUGUGAACCCGCACCGUGGUGCGUGUUUAAAGAUUCAUCGUCUAUGGGGAGUGGGGGUUGCGGCGCAUCAGCUCGUUGGUGA